AUGCUGGGGUCUGUCACACUUAUUCUUGCCACCCUGCUCCCUGCUGGACAGAUGGUGCUAUACCUGGACCAGCCCAUGGUCACCAUUACCAGAAAGACCAGGAGUGUUGCAACGUUUAUUUGUGAGUUUUCUGACAAAAACAUCAAGUACAUCCACUGGUAUCGCCAGCAACAAGGGAGGGCUCCCCAGCGCCUACUCUACUAUAACCUGGUCAACUCUCAACCCAACCUGGAUACAGGAUUCAACUCUAACAAAAUCCAUGCCUACAAGAUUAAUGAUCGAAGCUGUACCCUGAAAGUGCAAAACCUGGACGUGAAUGAUGCCGGCACCUAUUACUGUGCCAGCUGGGACUCCACGGUGACACAGUUUCUUCCACCUCCAAACAAAAAACUGCUGUCUGUGGUCACCAGGGGCAGGCUCUCCACCAUGGCCAACAAGCAUUCAGCCAUGAUGUGA
This is a non-coding RNA of Tachyglossus aculeatus (Australian echidna), 456 nucleotides long. NCBI's taxonomy places the organism in Eukaryota, Metazoa, Chordata, Mammalia, Monotremata, Tachyglossidae. The record is from the annotation of a RefSeq genome assembly.